RNAcentral lists this long non-coding RNA (3493 nucleotides) under Gossypium barbadense (sea-island cotton). Its description in RNAcentral is "long non-coding RNA (GBAR_LNC013681)". Lineage: Eukaryota; Viridiplantae; Streptophyta; Magnoliopsida; Malvales; Malvaceae. The record is from RNAcentral.
UCAAUUCACUCAUCUUUCUCUCUUCAUUUCCUCUCUCAUUCAUCUCUCUUUUCUCUCCUUUUCCAUUCUCUAUUUUUCCUCCUCUCGAAAGAGUGUUUGCAAGGUUUGAGAGCAGCCCCAAUUUGGCCACAUUGAAAACUUUUUAACUUGGUUGCUUCUGUAAGAAAGGAAGAGCCAAGAAAGGAGUAAGCGAGCUAUCCUUUAUAUCUUUUACUUUUUUCUCAAUUUCAUGAACUUGAUUGCAACUAAGUUUUUUGUUUUCAAUAAUAUCAUGAUUUCUUAAUUCUGUUUGUGUUAGAAUGAUUUUAUCACCAUGGUUUAGUUUAUUUAAUUUUGUAAAAAGUGUUCUGUGCUUUCAAUUGAUUUACUCAUGCAAGUAAAUUCAUGAUUAUAUUUCUUAUGCAUUAUGAAUGUAAAGAGAUAAUUAAAUUAAUUAAUGAAUUUAAACAAGGUUUUAAUUAAUUUAAAAAAUACUUGUAUGGUGUAUGUUUAAUCGAUUAGAGAUUAAACUUGUAAUAAUAUCCAAACUAUUAUUACCUUACAUAAGAAUGUAAAAUGUUGUACUUAUGAGAUUAUAAGUUUAUUAAACAUAGAAAUAUGUUAGGUAAACCUAGUAAUUAAAUAAAUUUAACAUCUUUACCCUAUUAAAUGAAGGUUAGUAAAUGAUGAACUUGCCACAGAAUAUCUGUAGCAUCUUGAACAGUAUUUAAAUAAAUCAAAGCUAGGAAAGAAGAUUAUCCUAACACAAGCAUGCUAUUGUGAUAACUCUUAAAACUUGCAUACUUAGGUAAUUUGUAGUUAAUUAAAUUAGUUAAUUAACUAUUAUUUGUUUGCAUCACAUUUUAAACAUUUUUCAGCACCAAUUUAAUCAAGUUUUAAUUUUUCUCAAAGAAUUGUUUAUAUAGUCUCUAUGGAGAUGAUACUCUAUACUUAUCACUUUAUUACUUGUCAUGAUUGUGUACACUUGAACGUUUUUGUCGUUCUAGUAAGUAUUUUGAGGAUCGUACCCAAGAGAUCUCAUAAUGGAGAAUUUUAUUAUUAAAUUAAUUACAAAAAAUAAUUACUAAUCUAAUUGAGUAAUGAAUUAGUAAUGUGAAUCCAAGUUAAAUUAUUAAUUAAACUAAUUAAAUUAAUUAACCUAAACUAACAUAAUGGACUUUCCUAUUCCUAGUGUUAAUGAUGCGAGCCUCUAGCCUAUGAUCGAUUAAGAAAUCUUAAUUAACAAGCAGAAAAUAAACUUCAAAACUUGGGUAGUUUUUUAAAGAAUUAGUUAUUAAUUAAUUAGUAUUACCUCCCGGCCUUUACUAAUUAACUAAUCGAUAGGCAUUAGCUUAUCUCCUAACCUCACUUUCUCCACCGCGAUAAAUUAUGAUUUACUCAGCAAAGUUAUCUCUCAACCUCGUUUGACCUAGAUUACUUCCUAGGGUCAUAAAUCCUAGGGUUUAGUCACACAUAAUUUAUACAAACUAAUUCUAUGAUAAACCACUAUUCUUCCGUUAAUUAAUCUACUUAAUUAAUUGAUCAGUUCUAUAACCAAAUCAUGCAAGAUAGAAAUAAAGCAUGAGAAUUUAUCAUAAUAUUCGUACAAACGUUAAUUAGCCAGAUAAAUGAAAUAUAAGUAAAAGAAUAAAAUAAAAGUGUAAAGAGAAUGCUCAUGAAUAAUAUAUUGGAGUGCAGUUCUGGAACAAUUUCUGCUCGCAAAUGUAUUUACCUCAAAAUAGGAAUUUUGACUACUGAAAAAUAAAAUAAAAAAAAACUGAAUAAAAUAAAACUAUCUAGGUUUGAAUCUAAAUCUACACUUUCCAGGUGACCCUAAGGUGACUUAUAUAGGCUAAAUGUUAUUUGGUGCCCACACAACCCUAGAUACACAUUGAAACUAUUAAUGCAAGAUAUUAUUAAUUUACUAGGGUUUAAUUAAGGAAAUAUCCCAAUAUUAUUGUCCAAGGAAUCAACCCUUCUUUCCACAUUUUCGUCGCAUCAUCAUGACGUCCAAAAGGACCACGUCGCGAUGUCAUGUAUCUUUCAGCCCUGGCAGCUUUAAAGUUCUAUGUCGCAACACGAGAACCCUUGCAUCACGAGACAAUCAUCGCCCCUUGCAUCAUGGGCUUGAAUUGACACCCUACACAGUCAAAUAGCCCAUUAGUCAUUCCCAAAGCCCAAGUUGGCCUUACAGGUCAUCAAUAUACUAAAAAGUGCAUAAAAAAUGCUCAUUUUGCAAAUAAUUAAAUCUAAACUAUGAAUACUGAAAAUGCAUGUAAAUAUUAUAAAUUCACUAGAAAACAAGCUUCUUAAGUGUCGAAGUGUACCUAAACUACCCCUACAAUUGGCGACAAGUCACUGAUUCACUGUAGUUAAGGGAAGGAUUCAGUUUCUUUUGAGGGACGAACUGCUACACCAGAUGUCCCUCCAAUUCCUAAGUCCCAAACAGAAUCCACCAGCCCCACGAAACUCCGUAUCCCUACUUCUAUGCCACUUUCUGUGGAGCCUAAUUUUGGUACAUUCUACUUCAUUCCACGGGUUUCUCCUCUUAGUUCCCUACUACUAACUUCUGCAACUAGCAAGGUAAACAUUUUAUUCCUUUGGAAGGAUCGCAUAAGUGUAUGGUAGUAUCCUUUCUCCCUUAAUGAAGUUAGACAGAAAUGAGCAGACUUGUCCCUAGAGUUGAAAGAGUGUGCCUACCAGUCAUCUUCCUUAACUAGUCCCCAAAAGCCUUCUCUGGAAGAAUUAGUAGGUUUUUUUCCAAAUGAUGUAGGCGGAGUAUGGACUACUUGGUUCAACCUUAAUUGAAGGUUGUAAUGAGAAUAAGGCCAAACAGGUUGAGUUCGAGAAGCCCAUAGGUUCUUGUGAGGGAUAACAUAAUUAGCUCAGCCAAAUUUAUGUGGACACAAUCCACUAGAACAGGGAGCUCACUAAAUCUAUCUCCACUUGGGAGACCAGAGGAGUAUCUUAGAAGCCAAAGAGAAAGAUAUGGGGAAAGUGUUUGCCAAUUGAAGGCCAAAAAGAAAGCCGUAGAGGAGCAACAACUUGCUAAUCUGAUGAAGCUCCAAAAGGAAAGCAACGAGGUCGAGGAGAAAUUUAAGAUAGAAAACAAAGUCAAUAUAAGGAACUACCUGCCGAACUUGAGGUCAAGUGUCAUAUUGCAUGCCCAAGUUGUUGUAGGCUCUUUUGAUGUGAGUCAGGUAGACUUCAAUUGCAUGCACAAACUCAUAAAUUCUAACCUUAGCUUUGGCUUUCUCUAUCCCUCAGGUGAGGAGUGGGAUGAGUUUCAGAAGGAACGAAGAGAAUCAAGCAAACUAUUCAUCCCCAUGAACCCGAGGUGACCAGCCCUGCUCCCACUGAAGAAACUAGCCAAGAGGUAAAUGAAGAUCCAGAGAAUGUUACUACUGAUGCUCCGCCAACUGAGGGAGAGAAUUAAUUUUUCUUAUUAUUGUACUUUCCAUCCUUAUAAAUGUUGAUUCCAAACUUAUUAAAACUUUUCUUGUUUUGCAUAAUU